This 127-nucleotide small nucleolar RNA is filed under the name Tursiops truncatus (common bottlenose dolphin). Its description in RNAcentral is "Small nucleolar RNA SNORA61 (ENSTTRG00000023177.1)". It matches the Rfam family "Small nucleolar RNA SNORA61". From Rfam's summary of the family: ACA61 is a member of the H/ACA class of snoRNA that guide the sites of modification of uridines to pseudouridines. The record is from RNAcentral. Lineage: Eukaryota; Metazoa; Chordata; Mammalia; Artiodactyla; Delphinidae.
CACCUCUGGUUCCCUUUCCCAUGGGAUCUGAACACCUGUCCUCGUGGUCGUAAAAGGACGACUAGUUAGACUGAAGCUGUCCUCAGAGCUGUCUGCUUUAGAGCAUGUGGGCUAGUUUCAAACAAGG